AUGUGAUAAGUAAUGUGAAUUGCAGAAUUCAGUGAAUCAUUGAAUCUUUGAACGCACCUUGCACCUUUUGGUAUUCCAAAAGGUACACCUGUUUGAGUGUCAU
This 103-nucleotide ribosomal RNA is filed under the name Puccinia dracunculina. RNAcentral's name for it is "partial 5.8S ribosomal RNA". It matches the Rfam family "5.8S ribosomal RNA", at positions 53 to 154 of the family's 154-position model. Rfam says of the family: 5.8S ribosomal RNA (5.8S rRNA) is a component of the large subunit of the eukaryotic ribosome. Lineage: Eukaryota; Fungi; Basidiomycota; Pucciniomycetes; Pucciniales; Pucciniaceae. The record is from RNAcentral.